CAACGAAGACAACCAGCCCUCGACCUGAGUCGCAACCUUCUUCGCGAGCAUACCAGUCUGCAACCAACCACCAGACAAGACCAAGAUGAGGACAUUGAAGAGCAAUCGCCCCAUUUCGACCAGGACCAAUAUGAGAUGGUU
Molecule: non-coding RNA, 141 nt
Filed under: uncultured Mamiellales
Lineage: Eukaryota; Viridiplantae; Chlorophyta; Mamiellophyceae; Mamiellales
Source: RNAcentral